GUCUUCGUGAUGCAGUGGUCAACACGCUCGGCUCUUAUUCGAGAGGUCGGUGGUUCGAGUCCCAGCGAGGGCA
Molecule: non-coding RNA, 73 nt
Organism: Stegodyphus mimosarum
Lineage: Eukaryota; Metazoa; Arthropoda; Arachnida; Araneae; Eresidae
Source: Rfam